This 77-nucleotide ribosomal RNA is filed under the name Halomonas sp. RNAcentral's name for it is "partial 16S ribosomal RNA". It matches the Rfam family "Bacterial small subunit ribosomal RNA", at positions 1 to 75 of the family's 1533-position model. Lineage: Bacteria; Pseudomonadati; Pseudomonadota; Gammaproteobacteria; Oceanospirillales; Halomonadaceae. The record is from RNAcentral.
UUAAACUGAAGAGUUUGAUCAUGGCUCAGAUUGAACGCUGGCGGCAGGCCUAACACAUGCAAGUCGAGCGGUAACAG